GCUCUACCUGUCUCUUACAAAUAAUCAGUGAAAUUGAUCUUCCCGUGCAAAAGCGGGGAUAACACUAUAAGACGAGAAGACCCUGUGGAACUUCAAAUAUAAAAUCAACUAUCACCAACACCCACCCACGGGCCUUAUACCAAACAGCACCUGAUUUUUAUUUUCGGUUGGGGCGACCUCGGAACAAAACAAAACCUCCGAAAAAUAAAAAACCCUUUAAACCUAGAACAACAGUUCAAAGUGCUUCCGGCAAAACGAUCCAAUACACUUGAUCAACGAACCAAGCUACCCCAGGGAUAACAGCGCAAUCCCAUCCUAGAGUCCCUAUCGACGAUGGGGUUUACGACCUCGAUGUUGGAUCAGGACAUCCUAAUGGUGUAGCCGCUAUUAAGGGUUCGUUUGUUCAACGAUUA
Molecule: ribosomal RNA, 413 nt
Filed under: Chelonoidis abingdonii (Abingdon island giant tortoise)
Lineage: Eukaryota; Metazoa; Chordata; Testudines; Testudinidae
Description: partial 16S ribosomal RNA
Rfam family: Bacterial large subunit ribosomal RNA
Source: RNAcentral